This 460-nucleotide ribosomal RNA is filed under the name uncultured bacterium. RNAcentral's name for it is "partial 16S ribosomal RNA". It matches the Rfam family "Bacterial small subunit ribosomal RNA", at positions 338 to 795 of the family's 1533-position model. The record is from RNAcentral.
CCUACGGGAGGCAGCAGUGAGGAAUAUUGGUCAAUGGACGAGAGUCUGAACCAGCCAAGUAGCGUGAAGGAUGACUGCCCUAUGGGUUGUAAACUUCUUUUAUAUGGGAAUAAAAUGUUCCACGUGUGGGCUUUUGUAUGUACCAUAUGAAUAAGGAUAGGAUAACCCCGUGCCAGCAGCCGCGGUAAUACGGAGGAUCCGAGCGUUAUCCGGAUUUAUUGGGUUUAAAGGGAGCGUAGGUGGAUUGUUAAGUCAGUUGUGAAAGUUUGCGGCUCAACCGUGAAAUUGCAGUUGAAACUGGCAGUCUGGAGUACAGUAGAGGUGGGUGGAAUUCGUGGUGUAGCGGUGAAAUGCUUAGAGAUCACGAAGAACUCCGAUGGCGAAGGCAGCUCACUGGACUGAAACUGACACUGAGGCUCGAAAGUGUGGGUAUCAAACAGGAUUAGAUACCCUUGUAGUC